CUUGGAGGUGCUCUAAUACUUGUCAAUUCCGUUCGGCUCCACGUCUGAAUCGGGCGAGAUAAAUAUAUACAGGGCUUCUGCUUCUACUUUCUUGUGCUUCUGCUUCUCGAUCUUUCUUUCGCUCGCUCUUUCUCUCUCUCUUCCUCAACGCAGACGCUGGCGACGGCGACGGCGACGGCGACCACACCCUUCGCAGGUCACGCGUGUGCCCCCGGUUGCUCAUCCCCGGCACGAAGACGCGCGACUGGGCCCUGCUGGUGGCCGUCGGCAUGGCUUCCCCUCGGCGCUGCAUCCUCCCGUCGAUCCGCAUUGUCUCGGCGAAACCCUAGCUGCCUCUUUCCGGUCAAGCCGACCUAGUCAGGGCCUCCAUGGCGCAAUUGUGCGGGCCUGGCCCCAACACGAGCGGUGCGCUGGUGUAGCCUCUGAGAGUCUCGGUGCACACCAGCGCUGCCUCCAUCCACGCCCCCGGCUGCGUCGCGCCGGCAACGUACGUCCAGCGGCUCGGCAGCGACACAAAACCAGGUAAUUUCCGCGUCCUUUACAUUUGAAGGUCCUAGUGCAGGGCUAGGUUGGUCCACCCUUGAGAUGUUGCCCCAGAUUUGUGACUUUUGCAUUGGCUUCUUGUUGCAGAUUAGAUUUCCUUGAUGAGUUGCUGACCAAACUAUGUGUUGCGAGCUGCAUACCAUGUGUUUGAUACAAUGCCCGUGUGUGCUUACUGUCCUUUUGCGUUUAAAAUGUGGUUUACCAUCAUGUACAGUACGAUGAUAACUGGCAACUGAAAGUGGUUUUCUCACAUGUGUUCAUCCAUUUAGAUUAGGCUAAAAUCUUUACAUUCUUAUCAGCUAAUGCACUCCUUUUCAAAUUACUGAGAAGCUAAGAAAAAACUUUGCUUGCAACACUGAUUUCUUUGCUUAUGGGAUUUCAUAUUUGUAUCUUUAAUAGUUCAGUAACUUCAGUUGAUUACAGAACUGGUCCAGGAUCUUGCAUUUACUAUUUUUGAACUUACAAAACCACGAAUCAUAUUUUUUCGUGCAUCCCUUAUUCUGUUUGUGAUUCUGCAUAUAAAUUAUGAAUGUUAAUUUGUGUCUAGAAGAUAAACAUCUUGUAUAUCCUAAGGGGCGUCAAAUGACAAAAGUUGUAUGUAUUGAUUUCUUUCAGCUGGAAUAGAAGCAUGGAACUACUGGCCUGUAGGUAAAAAAUUGAUUAUUUUGCAAUACUUUCUCAAAAAUAAUGUAUGCUAUGAGACUUAGAUAUCUUUCUUAUAUCUUGUGAGCUUUUGAAUUUGGAGGACAUGACUGCUGACUGUUGCAACGGUCAUGCUUUGUUGUGUGGCCUAUUGGUAGAUAUGCAGUCGCUGGAACAACUGCUAAGAUAAUAAGAAAUAGUCAUAUGUGCUGCCAAGAAUUCGUGUCAAUCGUUUGCAUCAUCACAGUGAACACCCAGCUGUUUCAUUCAUGGGGAUGCCCCUCGGCUACCUUGUUGUUUCUUGCAAUCCUCAUGGCAACAAUGCAGGUAGGUUUAUUCCCUACUCUGUUAUUUCGUUUCUCCUGUUGCUUCUCUAAUGGAGCACGCCUUGCUUCUUGUGGUUGGCAUGUAUGAGAAUUCAGUCAUAAUAUGUCUGCCAUGGCGUCGCUGAUACCCAGCGACAAGUGACCAGUUUGAGAAAGGAUAUUUGCCAGAUUUGCUUUCUUGGUUCACCAGUAUUUUGAUUGACAGCCCAUUUCCAGGUAUGGUUGGCUGCUUCUUUAUGUCUAUGUUCACGAUUUCUGUGGCUUUAGGUUGGAUUCAAUUAAAUUGGCCGCAUGUGUGCUUCCAUGGGUCUGAAGAAUACACUUAAAUUUUUUUGGGGGGCUCAUGUUUUUAAAAGGCGAUGAGAUUAGCGCUUUAGGCUUGCGCCUUACUGCUCCUAUUUUACAAAAAAAAUCAUGUAUUUCAUUUCAUUCGAACUCAAAGAUUAAUUGCACGUCUGUUUGUUUUUAACUAGAGCCAUUUUGUUCAGUUAGUAAGUAUCCAUAUGCAUUUUUUUAGCUACAGGACUUCAAAGUUUUACAUUUAUUUCUAUGUUAAACAUGUUUUUGAUUGCAUCAUCUUUGUACAGUGAAACUGACACAUGAAGACUAAAACAACAAUUUUUGCAAACAGAUUUCUUUACAAACGUCACUUUUGUAUAUUACAUACAGAUCAAAAGUCUGAUGAUUCCCGACAGGAGCAUAAAGGCAAUUCCUUCAGAACAACGCCAGAAGUGAUUCAGGUCGAACCAGAUUUACAUCCUCAAUACCGAUCGCUCUUAACUCUUACUUCAAUACACUGAAAUGGUGCCUUUUACUCUGUAAUUUUUAAACUCAGUAAACCAUCUCGCUGCUCAUACACUCCUAUACAUAGUGCUGUUUGCCAUGCCUUCAGCUUCUUGUUCUAUGAAUGACCUCUACACCUAUGUCUUGUAUUUAUCGAGUUUCUAACUUUUUCACAAAUUUUACAGAUGCGAAGCAAGAUACUUUAGCGCCAUGGAAUGGGUUAGGCUUUAUAUGUCAGAAACAAUCAUCAUCCCCUAGCUAUCUCAGAACGGCUCGUCAAGGUCUACGAUCUUUUUUCCUAUAAUGCAUGUAAUAUAUACCUCUCUAUAAUCAGCUCCAAAGACAUCAAGGUCUAUGACCUUUCACCUAUGUACUAAGCCAUCAACAUAUGUAAUAUAAUAUACACGUACAAAUAUAUACCUGUACAUGUAUAUCUCCAUCAAUAUAACCUUAUCAUGCAUAAUCUGCAUGUAAACCCAAGUGUGCUUACACGCGCGCGAUGGCGCGCGCUGUUGCACUAGUACUGCUAUAUACUCGGUGGUGAGCUUAACACCCUGUCCCCUCCUGCGGCCACCGAACGGUGCCAAUUAUACAUCUGCUCGGGCGUACAUCUCUAGGAUUUGGAGACCCCUAAACGAAAUACAUGAUGAUGCCUUAAAAUUUGAGAAAACUAAAGCAUACUUUGACUUAAUUAUAAAACUUCAAAUUUAUAUGGAUCUUACACUAUUAAGAAUAAACCAAAAUUUAUCUAUACCUCUAUCCCUAGUACUAAAGAAGCAAAAUUUCAACUUAAAUUUUAGGGCAGUCUCGGUGCUCGUAUGCUAUGAAGCGGUGGCCAUCUCACGCAUAGCAGCUGGCGCAGAGGGGAUAGGACAAGGACAGGCUCACAUGCUUUAGAUAAGAUACAGUAAUAGAAUGACAUGUUUUCUAUUAUUUUAUUUUGUUAUUAGAUUAUUAUUAGAACAUAAUAUAGGACUCACUAAAAUAUAGAACCCUGCUCACUGCCUAAACGAAGGAUUUGACUUUAAAAACUUUAGUUCACUUUGGUCCAUAAGAAUUUUAUUCCUUAUUAAGAAGUACUUUCCCA
This 3381-nucleotide long non-coding RNA is filed under the name Sorghum bicolor (sorghum). RNAcentral describes it as "long non-coding RNA (SBIC_LNC015307)". The record is from RNAcentral. Lineage: Eukaryota; Viridiplantae; Streptophyta; Magnoliopsida; Poales; Poaceae.